Molecule: ribosomal RNA, 468 nt
Filed under: uncultured bacterium
Lineage: Bacteria
Description: partial 16S ribosomal RNA
Rfam family: Bacterial small subunit ribosomal RNA
Source: RNAcentral
GACGAACGCUGGCGGCGUGCUUAACACAUGCAAGUCGAACGGAAAGGCCCUGCUCUUGUGGGGUGCUCGAGUGGCGAACGGGUGAGUAACACGUGUGUAACCUGCCCUUGACUUUGGGAUAACUUCAGGAAACUGGGGCUAAUACCGGAUAGGAGCUCCUGCUGCAUGGUGGGGGUUGGAAAGUUUCGGCGGUUGGGGAUGGACUCGCGGCUUAUCAGCUUGUUGGUGGGGAAGUGGCUUACCAAGGCUUUGACGGGUAGCCGGCCUGAGAGGGUGACCGGCGACAUUGGGACUAAGAUAAGACCAAGACUACUACGGGGGGCAGCGGGGGGGAAUAUAACAGAAUGGGCGGAAGCGAGAUGCAAAAACCCCGCGUGCGGGAUAACGGCCUUCGGGUUAUAAACCGCUUUCGCCUGGAACGAAGCGUGAGUGACGGUAAUGGGUAAGGAAGCCACGGCUAACUACGUG